UACGAAGGGGGCUAGCGUUGUUCGGAAUUACUGGGCGUAAAGCGCGCGCAGGCGGUCUUCCAAGUCAGUGGUGAAAGCCCGGAGCUCAACUCCGGAACUGCCAUUGAAACUGUUAGACUUGAGGAUGAGAGAGGUGAGUGGAAUUCCCAGUGUAGAGGUGAAAUUCGUAGAUAUUGGGAAGAACACCGGUGGCGAAGGCGGCGACCUGGUCCUUGACUGACGCUGAGGCGCGAAAGCGUGGGGAGCAAACAGG
Molecule: ribosomal RNA, 253 nt
Filed under: uncultured bacterium
Lineage: Bacteria
Description: partial 16S ribosomal RNA
Rfam family: Bacterial small subunit ribosomal RNA
Source: RNAcentral